AGUAACGCGUGGGUAACCUGCCUCAUACAGGGGGAUAACAGUUAGAAAUGACUGCUAAUACCGCAUAAGCGCACAGAAUCGCAUGAUUCGGUGUAGAAAACUCCGGUGGUAUGAGAUGGACCCGCGUCUGAUUAGCUAGUUGGUGGGGUAAAGGCCUACCAAGGCGACGAUCAGUAGCCGACCUGAGAGGGUGAUCGGCCACAUUGGGACUGAGACACGGCCCAAACUCCUACGGAAGGCAGCAG
This 245-nucleotide ribosomal RNA is filed under the name uncultured bacterium. Its description in RNAcentral is "partial 16S ribosomal RNA". It matches the Rfam family "Bacterial small subunit ribosomal RNA", at positions 109 to 354 of the family's 1533-position model. The record is from RNAcentral.